RNAcentral lists this long non-coding RNA (698 nucleotides) under Gossypium barbadense (sea-island cotton). Its description in RNAcentral is "long non-coding RNA (GBAR_LNC018337)". Lineage: Eukaryota; Viridiplantae; Streptophyta; Magnoliopsida; Malvales; Malvaceae. The record is from RNAcentral.
GGCUUCAGCAACAUUGUCGGCCCAAUUUUCAUUCUUAAGGGCAAUAAUGGAUCGCUUAUUGGACCUGGUUCGUCAAGCAAAGGUGGUGUUGUGGCCUCUUCUCUAUUUGGGGGGGUCUGCGAAAAGAAAAUAGACUAUUUUGAUAGUGGGCCUUGGUGUUAGCUUGGAAAGUAGGGCCCAAUCCGUCAUGGCCUAGUUAUGGAAGGGCCCAGGACAGCAGAUUGCAUCUGUUGCUGGUAGCAGUGUUGGUAAUCCGGCAGCGGCUGAAGGUUUAUCCGAUCUGUGUAAUGAAGCUUCCGUCGGGAACGGUGGUGAUAGGCCUCACUUCUCUUUAGCCCUGACCCAAGUCUUUGAUGGUCAAUGGAACGAAGUGGCGGCGGUGGGGGUUGGAAACCUGGAUCCCGAUAGGCACACGGCUGUAACUUUUCAAUAGGGAAAGAAAGCAAACACUGCCCUUCCAGCUACGAGGGAGACAGACCUGGUUUUGGAGCACAAUGAAGCCUUAGUUAGGGGAAGGGAAAUUCAAACCAGAACUGGACGUAUUGCAAAAAAAAAAAAAAAAAAUCUCCCAUGGUCGUAGUAGUCGGUUUAAACCCAUUGCUGGUCCUAAGGUUUGAAUAAAAGAAUCAAUGGCUCAACUAGCAGAGAGCCUUUAGACGCACCUUGUUGCGGAAAAUGCUGAAGAAGGUCCCUCCAUC